This 225-nucleotide long non-coding RNA is filed under the name Ricinus communis (castor bean). Its description in RNAcentral is "long non-coding RNA (RCOM_LNC000729)". The record is from RNAcentral. Lineage: Eukaryota; Viridiplantae; Streptophyta; Magnoliopsida; Malpighiales; Euphorbiaceae.
GCAACCACAACCGGGUUAACAAAAAUGGGGUGAUUAACCAGCAUAAUGGGAGCAGUAGAUGUGGCUUGGUUUGCAACCAUCCCAGCCAAGAGUUGUUGGAGCUCUUCCUGAAUCACACCCCUCAAAUCAUCGAUAACAGUGUUCUUCAGGAUCUCAACGUCUUAUUUGUUAGCUCUUUCAUUGGCCAUCUCUUCGGUAGCUUAGCAUCUUGGUUUUUCAAGGUGC